UGGCGCAAUGGUAGCGCGCGGUCCUCCUACGACUGUAAGGUUGUAAGACUGAGGUUGCGGGUUCGAGUCCCGU
RNAcentral lists this transfer RNA (73 nucleotides) under Mollisia scopiformis. RNAcentral's name for it is "Phialocephala scopiformis tRNA". It matches the Rfam family "tRNA", at positions 8 to 63 of the family's 71-position model. Rfam says of the family: Transfer RNA (tRNA) molecules are approximately 80 nucleotides in length. Their secondary structure includes four short double-helical elements and three loops (D, anti-codon, and T loops). Lineage: Eukaryota; Fungi; Ascomycota; Leotiomycetes; Helotiales; Mollisiaceae. The record is from Rfam by way of RNAcentral.